Molecule: long non-coding RNA, 760 nt
Filed under: Nicotiana tabacum (common tobacco)
Lineage: Eukaryota; Viridiplantae; Streptophyta; Magnoliopsida; Solanales; Solanaceae
Description: long non-coding RNA (NTAB_LNC017033)
Source: RNAcentral
CCAGUCUUUUUCUUUAUAUAUGAUCAGUGCUGUCAAUAUGAGAGGAAAUAUUCUUGUUUGCGCACUUACAAUUUGAAUAGAAAUAACUAUAUAAACAUCUCUCGUGUUUUAUUUAUAAAUCUUUUGUGUUUUUUUACUGAUCUUCUGUGAAACGAAUCAUACAACAUAAUAACAAUUGUUAUGGACUACAUAACAAUUUCUCCAUCAAUUUCACAUGGCAAAUAUCUUUCACCUCUUUUGCAUUUUUCAAUAAUCUGAUCUCCAGUAAGAUCCUUAAAUAGGUCCCAACUAUUAAUCGUAUAGGCUUCCACACAAUCUAGAUAGCAAAGGUACUCAAUUUCUUCAGGAGUUUUACAAUUUAUCACUGUCCCAGGAAAUAAAACCAAGACGAAAAUGCAAAUUUGCAACACCGUCAUAAUUUGCUUAUGACACAUUUCUAUUUGAUAUAUAUUUCCUGCAAAAUAAUAUUUAUGUGAGUGCCAAUAAAAAUUCUUGGUAACCUUCUUUUCUGAAACUAAUCGGCACCUUAUAACAAGAAGGCGUCCUUUUAAAGUUUGCCCCUAAAAGAAAAGGUAGAAAUAUCUACUGAAAUUUUUAAAAUCCACAUGCCCAAAUACAUAUAGCAACAAGUAUACAAAUAAUUUCAAAAGACAAAUAAAUUAAUGUAAGUUUACUUACGCAACAAACUAUAUCUGUAAAAUAGUUUUAUUCUUAUUGGUAAUGCUUUAUCAAGUUUGUGUGAGACACAAGAGAUGUUUAC